ACCACAACGGGUGGAGCUUGCGGUUUAAUUGGAUUCAACGCCGGAAAUCUUACCGGGACCGACAGCAAUAUGAAGGCCAGGCUGAAGACUUUGCCGGAUUAGCUGAGAGGUGGUGCAUGGCCGUCGUCAGUUCGUACUGUGAAGCAUCCUGUUAAGUCAGGCAACGAGCGAGACCCACGCCCACAGUUGCCAGCGUACUCUCCGGAGUGACGGGUACACUGUGGGACCGCCGCUGCUAAAGCGGAGGAAGGAAUGGGCAACGGUAGGUCAGUAUGCCCCGAAUAUCCCGGGCUACACGCGAGCUACAAUGGUUGGUACAAUGGGUAUCUACCCCGAAAGGGGACGGGAAUCUCCUAAAACCAAUCUUAGUUCGGAUUGAGGGCUGCAACUCGCCCUCAUGAAGCUGGAAUCCGUGGUAAUCGCGUUUCAACAGAACGCGGUGAAUACGUCCCUGCUCCUU
This 460-nucleotide ribosomal RNA is filed under the name uncultured Methanosaeta sp. RNAcentral describes it as "bacterial SSU rRNA". It matches the Rfam family "Archaeal small subunit ribosomal RNA", at positions 878 to 1338 of the family's 1478-position model. Lineage: Archaea; Methanobacteriati; Methanobacteriota; Methanomicrobia; Methanotrichales; Methanotrichaceae. The record is from RNAcentral.